Molecule: ribosomal RNA, 31 nt
Filed under: Candidatus Phytoplasma citri
Lineage: Bacteria; Bacillati; Mycoplasmatota; Mollicutes; Acholeplasmatales; Acholeplasmataceae
Description: Candidatus Phytoplasma aurantifolia partial 23S ribosomal RNA
Source: RNAcentral
AUAAAGAAAUAAUGAGCGCUGAGUUGGAGCG